This 24-nucleotide microRNA is filed under the name Amborella trichopoda. Its description in RNAcentral is "atr-miR8599". Lineage: Eukaryota; Viridiplantae; Streptophyta; Magnoliopsida; Amborellales; Amborellaceae. The record is from miRBase by way of RNAcentral.
CCAAAAUGGCUUGAGUUCUAACCU